This 701-nucleotide ribosomal RNA is filed under the name Bifidobacterium breve. RNAcentral describes it as "bacterial SSU rRNA". It matches the Rfam family "Bacterial small subunit ribosomal RNA", at positions 742 to 1440 of the family's 1533-position model. Lineage: Bacteria; Bacillati; Actinomycetota; Actinomycetes; Bifidobacteriales; Bifidobacteriaceae. The record is from RNAcentral.
GACGCUGAGGAGCGAAAGCGUGGGGAGCGAACAGGAUUAGAUACCCUGGUAGUCCACGCCGUAAACGGUGGAUGCUGGAUGUGGGGCCCGUUCCACGGGUUCCGUGUCGGAGCUAACGCGUUAAGCAUCCCGCCUGGGGAGUACGGCCGCAAGGCUAAAACUCAAAGAAAUUGACGGGGGCCCGCACAAGCGGCGGAGCAUGCGGAUUAAUUCGAUGCAACGCGAAGAACCUUACCUGGGCUUGACAUGUUCCCGACGACCCCAGAGAUGGGGUUUCCCUUCGGGGCGGGUUCACAGGUGGUGCAUGGUCGUCGUCAGCUCGUGUCGUGAGAUGUUGGGUUAAGUCCCGCAACGAGCGCAACCCUCGCCCCGUGUUGCCAGCGGAUUGUGCCGGGAACUCACGGGGGACCGCCGGGGUUAACUCGGAGGAAGGUGGGGAUGACGUCAGAUCAUCAUGCCCCUUACGUCCAGGGCUUCACGCAUGCUACAAUGGCCGGUACAACGGGAUGCGACAGCGCGAGCUGGAGCGGAUCCCUGAAAACCGGUCUCAGUUCGGAUCGCAGUCUGCAACUAGACUGCGUGAAGGCGGAGUCGCUAGUAAUCGCGAAUCAGCAACGUCGCGGUGAAUGCGUUCCCGGGCCUUGUACACACCGCCCGUCAAGUCAUGAAAGUGGGCAGCACCCGAAGCCGGUGGCCUAACC